ACGCUGGCGGCAUGCCUAACACAUGCAAGUCGAACGGAGGUAGGGGCAACUCUACUUCAGUGGCGGACGGGUGAGGAAUGCGUCGGAAUCUACCCUAUGGUGGGGGAUAACACAGGGAAACUUGUGCUAAUACCGCAUGAUGUCGAGAGACCAAAGCAGGGGACCGCAAGGCCUUGCGCGAUAGGAUGAGCCGACGCCCGAUUAGCUAGUUGGUAGGGUAAAAGGCCUACCAAGGCGACGAUCGGUAGCUGGUCUGAGAGGAUGAUCAGCCACACUGGGACUGAGACACGGCCCAGACUCCUACGGGAGGCAGCAGUGGGGAAUAUUGGACAAUGGGCGCAAGCCUGAUCCAGCAAUGCCGCGUGUGUGAAGAAGGCCUGCGGGUUGUAAAGCACUUUUGUUCGGGAAGAAAACGGAUCGGUUAAUACCCGGUUCGGAUGACGGUACCGAAAGAAUAAGCACCGGCUAACUUCGUGCCAGCAGCCGC
RNAcentral lists this ribosomal RNA (487 nucleotides) under uncultured bacterium. RNAcentral's name for it is "bacterial SSU rRNA". It matches the Rfam family "Bacterial small subunit ribosomal RNA", at positions 33 to 518 of the family's 1533-position model. The record is from RNAcentral.